This 292-nucleotide ribosomal RNA is filed under the name uncultured bacterium. Its description in RNAcentral is "partial 16S ribosomal RNA". It matches the Rfam family "Bacterial small subunit ribosomal RNA", at positions 505 to 796 of the family's 1533-position model. The record is from RNAcentral.
GUGCCAGCAGCCGCGGUAAGACGAACUGUCCAAACGUUGUUCGGAAUCACUGGGCUUAAAGGGCGCGUAGGCGGCUUGGCAAGUUGGGCGUGAAAGCCCUGGGCUUAACCCAGGAAUUGCGCUUGAGACUGCUAGGCUUGAGUGCGGGAGAGGUGAGUGGAAUUCCCAGUGUAGAGGUGAAAUUCGUAGAUAUUGGGAAGAACACCGGUGGCGAAGGCGGCCAUCUGGACCGUUUCUGACGCUGAGGCGCGAAAGCGUGGGGAGCAAACAGGAUUAGAUACCCUCGUAGUCC